GCUCUUCCCCUUCUUUCCCAUUUCCCGUUUGUCCCAGGGCAGCGGCUUCAAGCUAGUUCGUUUGCCAUGAAUUUCCACAGUCCUUUUGGAGUGAUUUCACCAUGACACCUGCAUUACUCCAUUUCUUCACAUUUUGUCCCAACUCCAGAGUGCUGCUGGCAGACAGACAGAAGGGAAGAAGGACAACAGCAGAUGACCAGGAGAAAGAUGAGCAUACUCUUCCCUUCCCAGCACCAUUACUCAUGCCAUGUUUUCAUCUCUAACCUUCGGGACACAGAAGAACCUCCAGCUGUGUGCUUUUGUGGCAUUUUGACUCCACAACAGUGUGCUCAUGUCUGACAGCUCCCAGGAUUGCCAAGACUCCACAAGACCUACCUCCACAAAAUCAGUGAGCAUCUUCUUGCAACCUGAGGACACAAGGACAAAGCUGAACUUUCUUUAUGAUGAUCUACACUUCAGAAAAGAUGAGGUUGAUCUUGAAGCUGAUCCUGUUCUAUGUGAAAUCCAUUGAUUCCCGAUAAGAUACAUGGAAUUCUAGGCUGAGAAGUACUGAGAACUGAGAAUAUUUUACUGGGAAAUUUGUGGGUUGACUGCAAUCUUGCUCAGUGCUUAUAUGGUUCCUCAGGCAUCUACCCCAUCAGUGGACAAAGAUAAUGAACCAGAAAGCACAGUGGAAUUGGAAAGCAUGGACGAAAAAGACAACCCAGUGGGCAAAUGGGAGACUGGCAGUUUAAACCAGUGAUGGAGAUUUACUGGGGUCAGAGUCUCAGAAGCCUGUAGAGCAGUGAUCUGUAGAGGAGUAUGAGGUGGUGAUGGCAAUGAGAAGUGGAGAAGAGGACUGCGUAAAAAGAGACUGAAGGAACUGCCAAAAAGAGUUCAGGAACCAAUAGGAAGAAGGAGCCAUUGAAGCAAAAUGGCACUUCCUUUUCAGAGACUGGAAAAGAAUAUGAAAUUUUAACCCUUCUUUAGUCGCUGCCAAAACCAUAAAUAAUAUCCAUACAAAGGUGUGUGUCCCAUCCUGUUCCAUUCUGUUGUCAGUCCAUGUAGAGACAAAAACGUUAUGACUGCAAAUUACUAACUUAAAUGGCAAGUGUCUGGAGUAGAUCUAAAUUCAAUCACCCUCUACUGGUCUGUUGCAGGUCUCAGUAAGAAACUGGUGAGUUUUCUGACUUUUCAGAUUACUUUUCCAAACUUGUCUCAUUAAAAAUUUACAAUUGAAAUUAUUUGUAAUUUAUCUUUCAAAUCUUCAAAGCUAGGAUUAAACUGAAUCUACCCUACCCUCUUCUUCCUCUUGACAUAUAGAUAUAUAUGUAUAUACACCUUGUCAUAAUCUAUAUUUUUCAUGAAACAGUUUUAUUUAUCUGGUCCCCGGACGGAUAGUAUUCAACUAAUGAGCAGCCUUUCAGUCUCCUUCUUGUUCUUCUGUUUACUUCUUCUGUUGGAGCAGUUCCACCUUGUAUAAGUGAAAUAUUCAUUGGGUCAGAGACUGGCUAAGUACCCUGAUUGCUCCGGUGUUCACAUGAGAUGUGGGAGUCAAGGCUCAAGUCUUUAUUUCAAAGACUGAUUAACUAUUUAUAUAAAAUGGAAUAGGUACAACUGGAGGGAAUGAGACCUUUUCCUCAGUAUCCAUUAGACCAGAUGGCAGGGCAAUUGCAAAAGAGGUGUGACUCCAACACAGGUGUUGGUCAGCAGUGGGCAGAGUGCAGAUUUGGGCUUUAGUUUUCUCCAUCACACCACAGAGCUGUGACUACUAGGCUGUUGGAUCCUUGGGAGAAGGCCAGGUGGUUUCGGUCAAGCAUUUCAUUCUUGUCCAAAGUGACACAAAUAUUCCUGCAAAAGCAAUUUUCUUUUUUUUGACUAAUAAAUAUUUUAUUAUAAACCAGUAUAUUCAGAAAAUCUCCACUCAGCCCUAUAAAUAACAUUCCAAGUCAUGGGUAUAUCUGGUUGGUUGAGGCAGCUACUGCACCUCUGGGGCAAAGUUAGGUACAAGAAGAAUGAGGGUGGUUACAAUAAAGCAGCUGUAUUCCAGUAUAAUCAUGAAAUUGGGUUGGGGGAAUCCCCUAAAAAUUCUGUCCCAAUAGAGACUAUUCUAUAAACUGACAAUAUGAAUCAGAAUACUAACGUAACUUUAACUAUACCAAAAUACUGUGAAGUCUUGGGGGUUCCCCCCCCUUGAAAAAAGUACUCUAAAUAACACUCUAGUUGCCAGUACAGAUAGGUGCAUGAUCACCCACUGUAGUAUAAAAAUGAAGCACAUAUUUUCAAAGUCAUAA
Long non-coding RNA from Neopsephotus bourkii (Bourke's parrot), 2273 nucleotides. RefSeq lists it as uncharacterized. The transcript has 3 exons. Lineage: Eukaryota; Metazoa; Chordata; Aves; Psittaciformes; Psittacidae. The record is from RefSeq and is a predicted model, not a curated record.